UACGUAGGGUGCAAGCGUUAAUCGGAAUUACUGGGCGUAAAGCGUGCGCAGGCGGUUCGCUAAGACAGAUGUGAAAUCCCCGGGCUUAACCUGGGAACUGCAUUUGUGACUGGCGGGCUAGAGUAUGGCAGGAGGGGGGUAGGAAUUCCACGGUGUAGCAGUGAAAUGCGUAGAGAUGUGGAGGAACACCGAUGGCGAAGGCAGCCCCCUGGGUCAAGAUUGACGCUCAUGCACGAAAGCGUGGGGGAGCAAACAGG
This 257-nucleotide ribosomal RNA is filed under the name uncultured bacterium. RNAcentral's name for it is "partial 16S ribosomal RNA". It matches the Rfam family "Bacterial small subunit ribosomal RNA", at positions 524 to 776 of the family's 1533-position model. The record is from RNAcentral.